AUCAUGCCUCACGCCCGUGAGGUAGAGUAGGAGGAAUGGGGGCCUCCUGCUCACUGUUUAAAGCGGCC
Molecule: non-coding RNA, 68 nt
Filed under: Prosthecochloris aestuarii DSM 271
Lineage: Bacteria; Pseudomonadati; Chlorobiota; Chlorobiia; Chlorobiales; Chlorobiaceae
Description: Chlorobi-1 RNA
Rfam family: Chlorobi-1 RNA
Source: Rfam by way of RNAcentral